RNAcentral lists this ribosomal RNA (374 nucleotides) under uncultured bacterium. RNAcentral's name for it is "bacterial SSU rRNA". It matches the Rfam family "Bacterial small subunit ribosomal RNA", at positions 524 to 898 of the family's 1533-position model. The record is from RNAcentral.
UACGAAGGGGGCAAGCGUUGUUCGGAAUGACUGGGCGUAAAGGGCGCGUAGGCGGUGCGUUGCGUCAGAUGUGAAAUCCCCGGGCUCAACCUGGGAAUGGCAUUUGAUACGGGCGUACUGGAAUCCGUGAGAGGUUGGUGGAAUUCCCAGUGUAGAGGUGAAAUUCGUAGAUAUUGGGAAGAACACCAGUGGCGAAGGCGGCCAACUGGCACGGUAUUGACGCUGAGGCGCGAAAGCGUGGGGAGCAAACAGGAUUAGAUACCCUGGUAGUCCACGCCGUAAACGAUGUGUGCUAGCCGUCGGGCAGCUUGCUGUUCGGUGGCGCAGCUAACGCGAUAAGCACACCGCCUGGGGAGUACGGUCGCAAGAUUAAA